Molecule: unclassified non-coding RNA, 212 nt
Filed under: Crepidotus pallidus
Lineage: Eukaryota; Fungi; Basidiomycota; Agaricomycetes; Agaricales; Crepidotaceae
Description: partial internal transcribed spacer 2
Source: RNAcentral
AUUUCUCAACCUUACUAGCUUUGCUAGUCUGGCUUGGAUGUGGAGGUUUAUGCAGGCUUUUUACAAGUCAGCUCCUCUGAAAUGCAUUAGCGGUACCCUAGUGGUUAACAGCUAUUGGUGUGAUAACUAUCUACGCCAUUAGUAGUGCCACGACUAUACAAUAGGGUUAUGCUGCUGUCUAACCGUCUACUUGGUAGACAACUAUUUGACAA